RNAcentral lists this ribosomal RNA (786 nucleotides) under Bacillus sp. RB(2010). RNAcentral's name for it is "bacterial SSU rRNA". It matches the Rfam family "Bacterial small subunit ribosomal RNA", at positions 20 to 785 of the family's 1533-position model. The record is from RNAcentral. Lineage: Bacteria; Bacillati; Bacillota; Bacilli; Caryophanales; Bacillaceae.
UGGCUCAGGAUGAACGCUGGCGGCGUGCUAAUACAUGCAAGUCGAGCGAAUGGAUUGAGAGCUUGCUCUCAAGAAGUUAGCUGGCGGACGGGUGAGUAACACGUGGGGUAACCUGCCCAUAAGACUGGGAUAACUCCGGGAAACCGGGGCUAAUACCGGAUAACAUUUUGAACCGCAUGGUUCGAAAUUGAAAGGCGGCUUCGGCUGUCACUUAUGGAUGGACCCGCGUCGCAUUAGCUAGUUGGUGAGGUAACGGCUCACCAAGGCAACGAUGCGUAGCCGACCUGAGAGGGUGAUCGGCCACACUGGGACUGAGACACGGCCCAGACUCCUACGGGAGGCAGCAGUAGGGAAUCUUCCGCAAUGGACGAAAGUCUGACGGAGCAACGCCGCGUGAGUGAUGAAGGCUUUCGGGUCGUAAAACUCUGUUGUUAGGGAAGAACAAGUGCUAGUUGAAUAAGCUGGCACCUUGACGGUACCUAACCAGAAAGCCACGGCUAACUACGUGCCAGCAGCCGCGGUAAUACGUAGGUGGCAAGCGUUAUCCGGAAUUAUUGGGCGUAAAGCGCGCGCAGGUGGUUUCUUAAGUCUGAUGUGAAAGCCCACGGCUCAACCGUGGAGGGUCAUUGGAAACUGGGAGACUUGAGUGCAGAAGAGGAAAGUGGAAUUCCAUGUGUAGCGGUGAAAUGCGUAGAGAUAUGGAGGAACACCAGUGGCGAAGGCGACUUUCUGGUCUGUAACUGACACUGAGGCGCGAAAGCGUGGGGAGCAAACAGGAUUUUAGAU